Molecule: RNA transcript, 4662 nt
Organism: Zea mays
Lineage: Eukaryota; Viridiplantae; Streptophyta; Magnoliopsida; Poales; Poaceae
Gene name: sugar transporter ERD6-like 6
Exons: 17
Source: RefSeq, a predicted model, not a curated record
AAUCGGGACACUCAUUUUGGCACCCAACAGUACGCAAGUCAGCGGCUGCGAGGGCAAGGACGGCGGCAGGAAGCAGAGGAGAGGAGCGCGAGGAAGCAAGUGUAGAUGGCGUCGACAGCGGAGGUCUCGAGCUGCUUGCUGAUAGAGGAUGGAGCGCGCGAGGGAGUGGAACGGAGGGGGAGGCGGCGAAGGUGGGGAUCUCACUGGAGGCAAUGACCGUGGCGAGAAGGGAGUCGCCGACUAGGCAAGGCGUCCAGGAGGCCGGACGCCGAGUCCUGUCGCCUCGCCUCGCCUGUGACAGUGACAGUAGUCACAGUGCCGAGAAACGGCAAAACAACACGGCCAACAUGACAUGUGGAUGAUGAGCUGGUAGUCAUGUCCAGCUCAGCUCAGAAAUGGGACCCCGGCGAGACCUGCCGCCUAUCACGAGUUUCACGACGGCGACUCGGCUUGCCCAUUCAAUGGAGGUGGUGGGUCUCCCCCGUUUCGUCUCCUGCCAUUCGUCCUCCUCCUCCCCUGUCUCUCUCUCCAUCCAUCCAAUCCCACCUGGAGAAAAACGAGACAAAUCAAAUCUCGCCGCGAGUUGGGCGCUGAGCGCGGGCGCCAUGGCGAGCAACAGCGCGCCCGGCGCCGGCUACGAGUGCGGCAGCGACAACGACGGCGGGCUGCACAAGCCGCUGCUGCCCAACAGCGGGAGCUGCCAACGGACGGGGUCGCGCCAGCCCAGCCUCAACGCCGCCGGCACCUCCUCCAGGGCCGUCCUGCGCGAGUCCCACGUCUCCGCCUUCCUCUGCACGCUCAUCGUCGCGCUCGGCCCCAUCCAGUGCGGCUUCACAAGCGGCUACUCCUCGCCGACGCAGGACGGCAUCAUCCGGGACCUCAACCUCUCCAUCUCCGAGUUCUCGGCGUUCGGUUCGCUGUCCAACGUGGGCGCCAUGGUCGGGGCGAUCGCCAGCGGCCAGAUGGCCAAGUACAUUGGCCGGAGAGGGUCAUUGAUUAUUGCAGCGGUUCCGAACAUCAUGGGCUGGCUUGCAAUCUCCUUCGCGAAACACACUUCGUUUCUGUACAUGGGACGAUUGCUUGAAGGAUUUGGUGUCGGUGUCAUUUCCUAUGUGGUACCGGUAUACAUAGCAGAGAUAUCUCCUCAGAACAUGAGAGGAGCUCUUGGCGCUGUGAACCCGUUGUCUGCAACAUUUGGUGUCAUGUUUGUCUAUGUGCUUGGCUUGUUUUUUCCUUGGAGGCUUCUUGCAUUAAUAGGAACGUUGCCCUGCUUAUUUUUGAUACCUGGCCUAUUCUUCAUUCCGGAAUCUCCAAGAUGGCUGGCAAGGAUGAAUAGGAUGGAUGAUUGCGAGACUUCUCUACAAGUUCUCAGGGGAUUCAAUGCUGACAUCACUGCAGAAGCUAAUGAUAUAAAGAUAGCUGUGACAUCAGCAAACAAAAGUGGUACAAUAAGUUUUCAAGAGUUGAACCAAAAGAAAAACCGCACGCCCCUAAUUCUAGGAAUUGGCCUACUUGUGUUGCAACAGCUAAGUGGAAUAAACUGUAUAGUAUUUUAUUCAGGUAGCAUCUUCAAAGCUGCAGAUGAAGGAAUAUUGUUCAAUGGAGGGAAUGAGAGUUCUACAAUAGAAUUGGACGAACCAUUCGAUGACAACAACAGGGGUUUUGUACGAAGGAUACAAGAAUAUGAAGUUAAGGAGGCGCUAAAAAGGAUGAAGGUAGGAAAGGCGAUGGGCCCUGAUGGUAUCCCUAUCGAGGUAUGGAGAUGCCUUGGAGACAUAGCGAUAGUAUGGCUGACUAAGCUUUUCAACACCAUCUUUCGGACAAACAGAAUGCCCGACGAGUGGCGACGGAGUACAUUAGUACCAAUCUUCAAGAACAAAGGAGAUGUUCAAAGUUGUACUAAUUACCGUGGAAUUAAGCUCAUGAGCCAUACAAUGAAGCUAUGGGAGAGAGUCAUUGAACACCGCCUGCGAAAGAUGACGAGCGUGACCCAAAAUCAGUUUGGUUUCAUGCCCGGGAGAUCAACUAUGGAGGCCAUUUUCUUACUAAGACAACUUAUGGAGAGAUUUAGAGAACAAAAGAAGGACCUGCAUAUGGUCUUUAUAGACUUGGAGAAGGCUUAUGACAAAGUACCUAGGAGUGUAAUGUGGUGGGCCUUGGAAAAACACAAAGUAGCAACAAAGUACAUUAAUCUUAUUAAAGAUAUGUACAGUAAUGUUGUGACAAGUGUCCGAACAAGUGAUGGGGACACCGAUGACUUUCCAAUUAACAUAGGACUACAUCAAGGGUCGGCUUUGAGCCCUUAUCUUUUCGCUUUGGUGAUAGAUGAGGUCACAAGGGACAUACAAGGAGAUAUACCGUGGUGUAUGCUUUUUGCCGAUGAUGUGGUACUUAUUGAGGAGAGUAGGAGUGGUGUUUCGCAAAAGUUGGAAUUGUGGAGGCAGACGCUGGAAGCAAAAGGUUUUAGGCUUAGUAGGUCUAAAACGGAGUAUAUGAAGUGUGAUUUCAGUGCCAUGGGGUAUGAAGAUGGCGAUGUUAGUCUUGAUGGGCAAGUGGUACCCAAGAAAGACACUUUUCGUUACUUAGGAUCAAUGCUUCAGAAGGAUGGAGACAUCGAUGAGGAUGUCAGUCAUAGAAUUAAAGCUGGAUGGUUGAAGUGGCGGCAAGCGGCGGGUGUCUUAUGCGACCCCCGGGUGCCACACAAACUAAAAGGCAAAUUCUACAGGACAGCAAUCCGGCCGGCUAUGUUGUAUGGAGCAGAAUGUUGGCCCACUAAAAGACGACAUGUCCAACAACUAUGUGUGGCAGAGAUGCGUAUGUUGCGCUGGAUAUGUGGCCACACAAGGAGAGACCGAGUCCGGAAUGAUGAUAUACGAGAGAGAGUAGGAGUGGCGCCAAUUGAGGAGAAGCUUAUGCAACAUCGUUUGAGAUGGUUUGGACAUAUCCAACGAAGAUCUGAUGAGGCACCAGUGCAUAUCGGAAUAAUUAGGCGUCCCGAGAAUGUGAAGAGAGGUAGAGGUCGACCAACCUUGACGUGGACAGAGGCUGUGAAGAGGGACCUGAAGGAGUGGAAGAUUGAUAAAGAGCUCGCCGUGGAUAGGAAGGGGUGGAAGUGUGCAAUUCACGUGCCAGAACCUUGAUUUAUAGUUUCGCUUUUCCUCUUUAAUCGUUUGAUCUUUUCUUGUGCCCAUUUAGAUCUUGCUGGUUCUUGUGGGUUUUAUCUCUUUUAUGUGUUUCCCCGUUUCGUCGUUUUUCGUUUCUCCUUUGCCUUUGUUUCCCCUUUUUUCUUUGGGGGUUGAGCUCUGAGGUUUUCAUACGGGGUUUCAUCUCUAGCCUACCCCAACGUGCUUGGGACAAAAAGGCUUUGUUGUUGUUGUUGUUGUUGUAUGAAGGAAUAUUGUAGUGGACUAGAAAAAUCAAAAGAGGGAAACUGGGAUGAAGUGACCUUAUUGUUCCUAAGUCCUAACACAUUAUAAUAUGUUAAACAAAGCUAAUAUAUUAGUCUCCUUGUAGGUUACAACAUGGUUUAUCGUUCUCUUGCUUUGAUAAAUGAUGGCAUUUUAUUGUUUAUUACAAAAACAGUAUGCCUCAUCUGUCUUUAUCUACAACUGUGCUGGCAGUCUGUUUUGACCUUUUCUAACAAUCAAAGUUCUCCAGGGCUCAAGAACAGCAACUUGGACGCAUGUGUACUUGGAGCUCUCGAGGUUCUUGCCACUGGUGUUACAAUCACGUUCUUGGACAGAGCUGGCCGGAGAAUCCUCCUUAUUAUAUCUUCUUGUGGGAUGACCCUAAGCCUUCUUGCGGUUGCUGUUGUAUUUUACAUCAAGGAUAAUAUUUCACAUGAUUCUGACAUGCAUAACAUCUUAAGUAUGGUGUCGUUGGUUGGUGUCGUGGCUUAUGUCAUUGCCUUCUGCUUCGGCAUGGGUGCCAUUCCAUGGAUCAUUAUGUCUGAGAUCCUUCCGGUUAGCAUCAAGAGUGUGGCAGGAAGCUUUGCGACCCUAGCCAACUGGUUGACAUCCUUUGGGAUAACAAUGACAGCAAAUUUGCUCUUGAGCUGGAGUGCUGCAGGCACAUUUGCCUCCUACAUGGUCGUGAGUGCGUUCACUCUAAUGUUCGUCAUCCUCUGGGUGCCAGAGACGAAGGGAAGAACCCUUGAGGAGAUACAGUGGUCCUUCCAGUAGUGAGCUGCAGCAGCAUUCAUCAGUAAAUGCAGUCAUCAGCAAGGUCUGGUCUGAGCUGCUGUAUGUGGUGUGGCGGCAUUUCUUCUUCUUUUUGUACUGCAAUCUCUUCUGUGGCAUCAUUUGGUGUGUAAGUUUCCUGCAUGACAUUGAUAGUAGGGAUUAACUUGCAUUUGUGACAAAUUAGUUGAUAGUGAUAGGAUCCCUUUUUGACGUCCCCAUAUCCUCCGUGUGGCGGCAUGGGAUGUCAAAAGGAAAGGGAUGGAGUUUUCUCGCUUUUGGUGUAGCAGGCCUCCCUUUGGUCAAGUAGUCACAGACCCAUUUUUUUUUUGUCAUUGGAUUGGAUACGUUACAGGGUUCGCUCACCACCCACACUCGAGACUGUUCAUUAAGUUUACUCUUAUGGAGAUGAUCGAGUGGAAGUUGGAUAAGGAUUGGAGUCGGAUGUAUCAGGUGCCAAGGAAUCCUUGUAUUCGGUAAAAAA